CGGGCGUCCUCACAAAUUACCUGCAUUCAGAGAUUCAUACCGGCACAGGUCGGUAUGCGAAGUCCCUUUUGGGGCCUUAGCUCAGCUGGGAGAGCACCUGCUUUGCAAGCAGGGGGUCGUCGGUUCGAUCCCGACAGGCUCCACCAUAUUGAGUGAAAAGACUUCGGGUCUGUAGCUCAGGUGGUUAGAGCGCACCCCUGAUAAGGGUGAGGUCGGUAGUUCGAGUCUACCCAGACCCACCACUCUGAAUGUAGUGCACACUUAAGAAUUUAUAUGGAUCAGCGUUGAGGCUGAGACAUGUUCUUUUAUAACUUGUGACGUAGCGAGCGUUUGAGAUAUCUAUCUAAACGUGUCGUUGAGGCUAAGGCGGGGACUUCGAGUCCCUAAAUAAUUGAGUCGUAUGUUCGCGUUGGUGGCUUUGUACCCCACACAACACGGCAUGUAGCUCCGAGGCAACUUGGGGUUAUAUGGUCAAGCGAAUAAGCGCACACGGUGGAUGCCUAGGCGGUCAGAGGCGAUGAAGGACGUGGUAGCCUGCGAAAAGUGUCGGGGAGCUG
This 557-nucleotide unclassified non-coding RNA is filed under the name Xanthomonas campestris pv. campestris. Its description in RNAcentral is "partial contains 16S-23S ribosomal RNA intergenic spacer and 23S ribosomal RNA". The stretch from base 166 to 239 matches the Rfam family "tRNA". Lineage: Bacteria; Pseudomonadati; Pseudomonadota; Gammaproteobacteria; Lysobacterales; Lysobacteraceae. The record is from RNAcentral.